GGAGAGAUGUCAGAGUGGUCUAACGUGCCCGCUUGGAAAGCGAGUAUACCGAAAGGUAUCGGAGGUUCGAAUCCUCUUCUCUCCGCCA
This 88-nucleotide transfer RNA is filed under the name Clostridia bacterium. RNAcentral's name for it is "tRNA-Ser". It matches the Rfam family "tRNA". From Rfam's summary of the family: Transfer RNA (tRNA) molecules are approximately 80 nucleotides in length. Their secondary structure includes four short double-helical elements and three loops (D, anti-codon, and T loops). Lineage: Bacteria; Bacillati; Bacillota; Clostridia. The record is from RNAcentral. RNAcentral also lists the same sequence under 2 other names.